RNAcentral lists this small nuclear RNA (239 nucleotides) under Mesocricetus auratus (golden hamster). Its description in RNAcentral is "7SK RNA". It matches the Rfam family "7SK RNA", at positions 41 to 331 of the family's 331-position model. Rfam says of the family: 7SK was discovered as an abundant small nuclear RNA in the mid-70s but a possible function has only recently been suggested. Two independent studies have found that 7SK RNA binds the CDK9/cyclin T complex (known as elongation factor P-TEFb). Lineage: Eukaryota; Metazoa; Chordata; Mammalia; Rodentia; Cricetidae. The record is from Rfam by way of RNAcentral.
GGGUCUCUACUCAAGGUCUGGUGUCCCCACAGGUUAGGAAGUAUCCCCUGUCUCUCUGGCCACCCCAAAGCAGCAUGCUGGAUCAAAGAGAAGUCUUUGGUCCAAGAUGUGUGGGCAGCCGCAUCUUCUGCCAGAAUCUCCAAUACGCUCUUCAGUUCCAUUUGCAGGAGGCUGGAGACCCAAGCUUCAAGACUCCAGAUACAUCCAUGCCGUGUGCAUGUGGCAAUCUGAAUUUCUUU